This 45-nucleotide ribosomal RNA is filed under the name uncultured Synechocystis sp. RNAcentral describes it as "partial 23S ribosomal RNA". The record is from RNAcentral. Lineage: Bacteria; Bacillati; Cyanobacteriota; Cyanophyceae; Synechococcales; Merismopediaceae.
GAUCGAGCUACAAAGAGCUAAAGGUGGAUACCUAGGCACACAGAG